AAAAAACAUACGCGCUCUCUGGCAGAACAACCACGCACGCUCUGGCUCUUUCGCUCUCUCCCUCAAUCCUACCAAUCCAGCAAUCACCAUCGGCUUCGUCUCUCUCUCGCCCGUCCAUUGCAUCUCUCACAUCUCUCACAGCGCCUCACUCUCUCGGCUGUCUCAAAAAUUUGACUUGCAGCCUCACUCUCUUAGCUUCACUCGUCGAUUUCUAGCGGUAAUUUGCUUAAUUAAUUCCAAAUUUGAUUGUAAAGAUAAUUAAUUGUAAAGAUUCAGCUGUCAUUUAGUUAAACAAGGGAAGCUUGCUGCAACACACCAUGAAUUGAAUAUAAAUUAUUCUGACAAAUAAUUGAGGAUAAUGUUUAUCCAAUAUCUACAUAAAAUUCUUGCACUGUAAGUAGUGAUAAGUUUUUUAUUUAUUCAUCUUGCCUUUAUUUUUUCGGAUGACAACAAGAUGUUUAAUUUUUUUAUAAUAGCACACACAAGCUCAGCGACAUGGACAUUUUCAGCAGCUACACUUUCAACAAGAUAAUGAAUAUGGAGUUAAUAGGGAGUUAUUUC
Molecule: long non-coding RNA, 561 nt
Filed under: Citrus x clementina
Lineage: Eukaryota; Viridiplantae; Streptophyta; Magnoliopsida; Sapindales; Rutaceae
Description: Citrus clementina (C. clementina) long non-coding RNA (CCLE_LNC001616)
Source: RNAcentral